This 490-nucleotide ribosomal RNA is filed under the name uncultured bacterium. RNAcentral describes it as "partial 16S ribosomal RNA". It matches the Rfam family "Bacterial small subunit ribosomal RNA", at positions 30 to 507 of the family's 1533-position model. The record is from RNAcentral.
AUUGAACGCUGGCGGCAGGCCUAACACAUGCAAGUCGAACGGUAACAGGAAGCAGCUUGCUGCUUCGCUGACGAGUGGCGGACGGGUGAGUAAUGUCUGGGAAACUGCCUGAUGGAGGGGGAUAACUACUGGAAACGGUAGCUAAUACCGCAUAACGUCGCAAGACCAAAGAGGGGGACCUUAGGGCCUCUUGCCGUCGGAUGUGCCCAGAUGGGAUUAGCUAGUAGGUGGGGUAACGGCUCACCUAGGCGACGAUCCCUAGCUGGUCUGAGAGGAUGACCAGCCACACUGGAAGUGAGACACGGUCCAGACUCCUACGGGAGGCAGCAGUGGGGAAUAUUGCACAAUGGGCGCAAGCCUGAUGCAGCCAUGCCGCGUGUAUGAAGAAGGCCUUCGGGUUGUAAAGUACUUUCAGCGGGGAGGAAGGGAGUAAAGUUAAUACCUUUGCUCAUUGACGUUACCCGCAGAAGAAGCACCGGCUAACUCCGUG